This 84-nucleotide transfer RNA is filed under the name Desulfovibrio sp. RNAcentral's name for it is "tRNA-Leu(tag)". It matches the Rfam family "tRNA". Rfam says of the family: Transfer RNA (tRNA) molecules are approximately 80 nucleotides in length. Lineage: Bacteria; Pseudomonadati; Thermodesulfobacteriota; Desulfovibrionia; Desulfovibrionales; Desulfovibrionaceae. RNAcentral also lists the same sequence under 2 other names. The record is from RNAcentral.
GCGAGAGUGGCGGAAUUGGUAUACGCACUGGAUUUAGGAUCCAGCGCCUCUGGCUUGGGGGUUCAACUCCCCCCUCUCGCACCA